AACUCCAUGUCUGAUUAAAGUAAUAAAUUGUAAAUUUAUUUAAGAGGGUAGAAUGUCUUCUGGUGUUA
This 68-nucleotide transfer RNA is filed under the name Pseudomyrmex dendroicus. RNAcentral's name for it is "tRNA-Tyr". The record is from RNAcentral. Lineage: Eukaryota; Metazoa; Arthropoda; Insecta; Hymenoptera; Formicidae.